RNA transcript from Pomacea canaliculata, 1543 nucleotides. RefSeq lists it as uncharacterized. The record is from RefSeq and is a predicted model, not a curated record. The transcript has 3 exons. NCBI's taxonomy places the organism in Eukaryota, Metazoa, Mollusca, Gastropoda, Architaenioglossa, Ampullariidae.
CGACAUCGAGCGUCUUCAUCUAUUCUAACGCAGAAGCAGGCAAUCCCCGCCACAGCCUGCAAAGUGUGCGAUUUCCCUGCGGGUAUCAGAAGAAAUUGUUAAUAUGAUCUCACUGAAACCGAACAACUUUACUACAUAAUCAUAGGUUCCUAAUAUUGUAAAGUCACAGGAAGUUUUCCGCGACUGUCACACUGAUAUUGGGGUGGUGGAGCAUAACCAGCUGCAGCAGCUCCAUCGCCAAACAGACUUAGAACUUUGAGUUAUGUGCGAACGUCGACACCGUCUACAGCAGGGUUAGCACGAGCUCUGGCACUAACUCUAUGGCAAAGCACAAACCGCAAGAUGAGGCUAUGGGAGAUACGUCCUGCUGGCUUGAGGAUCAAAUAUCUCGGCGAUUAGUUGCUGAGACAGGUGAAGGGUGUGCAUCCCAGAGCCUUGGUUUAUCAGCGGGCUCAUUAAUAACGAGUGAAGCUAAACAACCGGUCACAUCAUUGCUCCCAGACGAGAAGAAGCCCACAGAGUUCUGCGCAUAUCGUGCGAAAAAACUCACUCCCUUUCCGAAGGCACACCUGAAUGUGCACAAUGAAGAAGAGGAAGAAGAGAACACAGCGACGAGUAGUAGAAGACAUGAAGAACGCGCCAGCUGUACCCCUUCAAAACCGCGGUCAGGGCUCUUGUGUGGAGCCUGCAGCUGCUUCUCCAAGUCCAAAGACAAAAGAAGACCAAAUGACGAUUUAGGCUGGAAGAAGAGAGAUGAACAGGUGGGUGGAUCGGCGCAGUGGGAGACAGACAUCUAAGAGGGCGAAGAUGGGAGCACGCUCAGUUGAAAUCGCAACCAUAGUAAUAUGGCAGGAGCUUUUGACGAGAGGAAGAAAGAUAGCAGAUGUCAUUUUAUGGUCGGUGAAAAGAAUUCCUCAGACUUGGUAAGCAAGGAAGUCGCGGACACCAACAGCGAUUCGCCUCGUGGCGAUCCUUUUCCUACAGGUAACGACGCAUGCAAAAAAAGGAAAUUCCACUUCCGUUUUUUCAAACAUUUCCCGCUAUUGACACGUACCAAGCCACAUCAGGUCAGUUGGGAUUCGUCCCGAGGGACUGCAAAGGAUGGGCAUUGUUCCGACAAAACGCCAGCAGCUUCUACUACAGUGUUCAGUCCUUCUCACUCGAUUCUGUCGUCACGAUCCAAGAUGAAGAUAUCAGACAGCUCGCAGCAAUCUGAAGUCAAAAGGGUUAGCUUCCGGGAAACCGCGGAAGUGAUGCAGUCCCUUGAUAAGUCGUGAUUCCCGUUGUCUGAUGUUUCUGGGGGCGGUUCCCCAUAAAAGGGCUGCUUUAAUAAGAAAUCAGAGAAAUUUGAGCUUUACUGGUCUCCAGGAUGUUUUUUGAGCUUCUCAAUAAACUGGACAAGCUGUUAACAACUGUAAUACUGUGACUAGUCGGUUGACGGAAGUGACGUGCAGGGCAGUGGAUGGCAAUCACUGUUGUUGAUCGACUGCUGUUGUUUUAUAUAUAUAUACUCGAUUGAAAAUAAAAUUUAAAUGGCCACAAA